GACGAACGCUGGCGGCGUGCUUAACACAUGCAAGUCGAACGAAGAGCGAUGGAAGCUUGCUUCUAUCAAUCUUAGUGGCGAACGGGUGAGUAACGCGUAAUCAACCUGCCCUUCAGAGGGGGACAACAGUUGGAAACGACUGCUAAUACCGCAUACGAUCUAAUCUCGGCAUCGAGGAUAGAUGAAAGGUGGCCUCUACAUGUAAGCUAUCACUGAAGGAGGGGAUUGCGUCUGAUUAGCUAGUUGGAGGGGUAACGGCCCACCAAGGCGAGGAUCAGUAGCCGGUCUGAGAGGAUGAACGGCCACAUUGGGACUGAGACACGGCCCAGACUCCUACGGGAGGCAGCAGUGGGGAAUCUUCCGCAAUGGACGAAAGUCUGACGGAGCAACGCCGCGUGAGUGAUGACGGCCUUCGGGUUGUAAAGCUCUGUUAAUCGGGACGAAAGGCCUUCUUGCGAAUAGGGAGAAGGAUUGACGGUACCGGAAUAGAAAGCCACGGCUAACUACGUG
This 510-nucleotide ribosomal RNA is filed under the name uncultured bacterium. RNAcentral's name for it is "partial 16S ribosomal RNA". It matches the Rfam family "Bacterial small subunit ribosomal RNA", at positions 28 to 507 of the family's 1533-position model. The record is from RNAcentral.